GUUUUUCGUGGGGGAUAACGUAGGGAAACUUAACGUAUUCCCGCAUACAACCUACAUCUGCGAUUACUGGGAUCUUCGAACCUUGGGCGACUGAAUGCACACAUGUCUCAUUACUGAGAUGGGGGUUCUGGGGCCCACUUACCGUACGAUCGCUUGCUGGCUCUGUCCCAACAUCUGCCACACUGGAACUGACCUGGGUCCAAACUCCAUGAUGACUUGACAUCGGGGAAUAUUUCCUAAUGUUUGUCAAGCCUGAUCCUCCUUUACCUUCCGGGUGAAGAAGGCCUUCAACUUGUAAAGCCCUUUUGUUGCGAAACAAAACUUACUGGUUCAUACCCCGAUGGGAUGACAGUACCCCCAUAAUAAACCUGUGCUAACUUCCCGCAAGGCACCGCUCCAAUACUGGAGGUGUCUCCGUUUGUCAGAGUUACUGGACGUUCUUCGCGCGUAGGCGGACUAUUACGUCUGCUGUGAAAGUUGUGCGCUCAACCUGCGAACUGCAGUGGAUACUGUCUUACUACAGUGUGCCAGAGGGUAGCGGAAUUCCUGGUGUACUUCUGAACUGCGUGCAAAUUGGAGGAACAUCCUGGUCGAAUCAGCUACCUGGAGACUACUGACACUCUAAUCCUGAUUG
Molecule: ribosomal RNA, 634 nt
Filed under: uncultured bacterium
Lineage: Bacteria
Description: bacterial SSU rRNA
Rfam family: Bacterial small subunit ribosomal RNA
Source: RNAcentral